Molecule: long non-coding RNA, 275 nt
Filed under: Panicum hallii
Lineage: Eukaryota; Viridiplantae; Streptophyta; Magnoliopsida; Poales; Poaceae
Description: long non-coding RNA (PHAL_LNC000495)
Source: RNAcentral
AACGGCGAGUUGGCGCGGCUCGGUAAGUUUGCCAAGUGAGGGGAAGCGAUGGCGAGGUGGAUAGCGACGCGAAUGAGAUGGCUAGUCUGUUGGGUGCCGAUUUCUUUUUUUCUUUUUUUACCUAUCCAACCAGGUUUGGCUAACCUCCUGCGGAUGCUCUAAUAACGUGGUUUUCGUUACCCGAGCUCCGCUAGCUCUCGUAUAGAUAUGAUAUAUCUUAUUUAUCAUAUUUGACACUCUAUAUAUACUUAGUGUCCAUUUGGCUCACUCAGCUC